Non-coding RNA from Schizosaccharomyces pombe (fission yeast), 442 nucleotides. Lineage: Eukaryota; Fungi; Ascomycota; Schizosaccharomycetes; Schizosaccharomycetales; Schizosaccharomycetaceae. The record is from the annotation of a GenBank genome assembly.
AUUUUAGGAGGCUCUUGAAAUGGAUGAGGAAAGGCAAUUUGACCACGAGCUGACGGAGCGCGUCGAUUACUUUUUAAAGCAAUUGAAAGCAUAUAAGACCCAACAUAUGGAACAGAAAUGCUCACAGAUUUGAGAUAUUUUGUGGCUUCAGGAACUGUCAUCGCAAGAGCGGGAAAAUUGGAUUUCUUGUUUAGUUGAGAAAUAAACCUUUUGCAGAAACCCUUUUGAUUUUUAAAAUUUAAAAAUUCAUUAUGUGACAAUAAUGUUUGCCGUUUACCUAACGCUAUUAAUGAACUCAUGGUUUUUAAUCUGGUUCGUCAAACUGUCACCAAGCUACUGGAUGUCAGUCAAUGAACCUGCUAAAAUCAUAAAUCUCUAAACAAAUCUGAUCCAGCUGUCAACUUUCGAAUUAAUAAAGAAUUAUCUUUCAAAUCAAAUUUCC